UUAGGUUAAGUGUGACAUUUAUUUAGGCUAUCUUCAGCGUCGCUAACUCCCCUCCUUCUUAGGAUAAAGCGUCCCCGCUACUGUGUUGCUAAUUGCUGUUAAUGUAGACGGUUCAUUUCGAUUUGAAAUAAGCCAUCGAUUUGCCUUUGUCUGUUGAGUAUUCUAACAUUUUGGCAAUAUUUGCAGAGGUGAACUAAACCGUAAAUGGUUGCUACGAAGGAAUUAAAAACUUUGAAAGUUCUUGUAUGUUUCUGAACUUGUAGCUUGAUUUUGAGGGAAGAAUACGGAGUACUUCGAGUUUUUCGCUUUGCUGUUUGGGAACGAUUUCUCUGAUUUGUUGUUGACACUUGGCGAGAUAUAGGCAUAUUAUUCCAAGAAUGCUGAUAAUCUGUCAAAAUGAGACCGUUUUCCAGGAUUUGUAGUGGAGCGUUAUUUCGUAAAUUGUUUCACAUUGUGCUGGAUUAUCAUUUAGUAUUUUGAAAGUGUAAUUAUCAGAGGAUUUUGACUU
Bactrocera neohumeralis is the source of this 508-nucleotide long non-coding RNA. RefSeq lists it as uncharacterized. The transcript has 3 exons. The record is from RefSeq and is a predicted model, not a curated record. Lineage: Eukaryota; Metazoa; Arthropoda; Insecta; Diptera; Tephritidae.